AGAGAUGUGUGAUGACGCAUAUCAAUAAGCGGAGGAAAAGAAACUAACUAGGAUUCCCUCAGUAACGGCGAGUGAAGCGGGAAGAGCUCAAAUUUGAAAUCUUAAAGGGUUUACCUUGACGAAUUGUAGUUUAAAGAAGUGUUUUCUGUUGGAGUUUUCGGUAAAAGUUCUUUGGAAUAGGACAUCAUAGGAGGGUGAGAAUCCCGUAUUUGACCAGUUACUUUCCAGCUGUGUGAUACACUUUCAAAGAGUCGGAUUGUUUGGGAAUGCAGUCCAAAAUGGGUGGUAAAUUUCAUCUAAAGCUAAAUAUUGGCGAGAGACCGAUAGCGAACAAGUACCGUGAGGGAAAGAUGAAAAGAACUUUGAAAAGAGAGUUAAACAGUACGUGAAAUUGUCAAAAGGGAAGCGUUUGGACACCAGUGUUGUUUAGUUCGAAAAUCAAUUACGAAUGUUUUCGAUUUUGAGGAGUAUUGACCUUAUCAGGCUUGCUUCUUUUUCUACGAAAUUAUUUAAUGCACUUUUCAGGUUAACAAGUCAACAUCAAUUUCUUUUGUUGUAAAAAGGUAAGAGGAAGGUGGCUUGCGCUUCGGCUCAAGUGUUUAUAGCCUUUUACCCCUGCAAUCGGAGAGAUUGAGGUCUGCAGCGUAGAUCCUUCGGGGUUAGAUACAUUUGUGCUAAGCUAUAGCCUUGUAUAGACAACUUGUUGACUAUGCUCAGUCAUGUAGCUUACUCGCUUAUGCUAUUUUACCUACGCUUAGGAUGUUGAAGAUGUAGCACAUCAU
This 782-nucleotide ribosomal RNA is filed under the name uncultured Neocallimastigales. RNAcentral describes it as "partial large subunit ribosomal RNA". It matches the Rfam family "Eukaryotic large subunit ribosomal RNA", at positions 23 to 620 of the family's 3401-position model. The record is from RNAcentral. Lineage: Eukaryota; Fungi; Neocallimastigomycota; Neocallimastigomycetes; Neocallimastigales.